Molecule: ribosomal RNA, 497 nt
Filed under: uncultured bacterium
Lineage: Bacteria
Description: partial 16S ribosomal RNA
Rfam family: Bacterial small subunit ribosomal RNA
Source: RNAcentral
GACGAACGCUGGCGGCGUGCCUAAUACAUGCAAGUUGAGCGCUGAAGGUUGGUACUUGUACCAACUGGAUGAGCAGCGAACGGGUGAGUAACGCGUGGGGAAUCUGCCUUUGAGCGGGGGACAACAUUUGGAAACGAAUGCUAAUACCGCAUAAAAACUUUAAACACAAGUUUUAAGUUUGAAAGAUGCAAUUGCAUCACUCAAAGAUGAUCCCGCGUUGUAUUAGCUAGUUGGUGAGGUAAAGGCUCACCAAGGCGAUGAUACAUAGCCGACCUGAGAGGGUGGUCGGCCACAUUGGGACUGAGACACGGCCCAAACUCCUUCGGGAGGCAGCAGUAGGGAAUCUUCGGCAAUGGGCGAAAGUCUGACCGAGCAACGCCGCGUGAGUGAAGAAGGUUUUCGGGUCGUAAAACUCUGUUGGUAGAGAAGAACGUUGGUGAGAGUGGAAAGCUCAUCAAGUGACGGUAACUACCCAGAAAGGGACGGCUAACUACGUG